GUGGGGAAUAUUGGGCAAUGGGCGCAAGCCUGACCCAGCAACGCCGCGUGAAGGAAGAAGGCUUUCGGGUUGUAAACUUCUUUUACCAGGGACGAAACAAAUGACGGUACCUGGUGAAUAAGCCACGGCUAACUACGUGCCAGCAGCCGCGGUAAUACGUAGGUGGCGAGCGUUAUCCGGAUUUAUUGGGUGUAAAGGGCGUGUAGGCGGGACAGCAAGUCAGAUGUGAAAACCAGAGGCUCAACCUCUGGCCUGCAUUUGAAACUGUUGUUCUUGAGUGUCGGAGAGGUAAUCGGAAUUCCGUGUGUAGCGGUGAAAUGCGUAGAUAUACGGAGGAACACCAGUGGCGAAGGCGGAUUACUGGACGAUAACUGACGCUGAGGCGCGAAAGCUAGGGGAGCGAACGGGAUUAGAAACCCUGGUAGUCC
Molecule: ribosomal RNA, 428 nt
Filed under: uncultured bacterium
Lineage: Bacteria
Description: partial 16S ribosomal RNA
Rfam family: Bacterial small subunit ribosomal RNA
Source: RNAcentral